AUCAUUAAAAAUGUAAGUGACAUUUUGCUGAUGACCCACUGAGCCGUCAAGAAAGGGCAAAGGAAAAACACCGCUUUUGGGUGAAGCGGCAGCGUGUUGUGUUGCUUUGCUUCAAUCGGUGGUGUGAGUUGU
Small nucleolar RNA from Myotis lucifugus (little brown bat), 132 nucleotides. NCBI's taxonomy places the organism in Eukaryota, Metazoa, Chordata, Mammalia, Chiroptera, Vespertilionidae. The record is from Ensembl.